Molecule: ribosomal RNA, 623 nt
Filed under: uncultured bacterium
Lineage: Bacteria
Description: bacterial SSU rRNA
Rfam family: Bacterial small subunit ribosomal RNA
Source: RNAcentral
UGAUCCGUAGGGGGCGUGAGAGCGUGACCCCCCACAUUGGCACUGAGACACGGGCCAAACUCCUACGGGAGGCAGCAGUGAGGAAUAUUGCACAAUGGGCGCAAGCCUGAUGCAGCAACGCCGCGUGAGGGACGAAGGCCUUCGGGUCGUAAACCUCUUUUCUGGGGGAAGAGACAGGACGGUACCUCAGGAAUAAGUCUCGGCUAACUACGUGCCAGCAGCCGCGGUAAAACGUAGGAGGCGAGCGUUAUCCGGAUUUACUGGGCGUAAAGCGCACGCAGGCGGCUUCGUGAGUCGGACGUGAAAGCUCCUGGCUUAACUGGGAGAGGUCGUUCGAUACUGCGAGGCUUGAGGUUGGGAGAGGGGUGUGGAAUUCCCGGUGUAGUGGUGGAAUGCGUAGAUAUCGGGAGGAACACCAGUGGCGAAGGCGGCACCCUGGCCCACACCUGACGCUGAGGUGCGAAAGCGUGGGUAGCAAACAGGAUUAGAUACCCUGGUAGUCCACGCUGUAAACGAUGUCAACUAGGUGUUGGUAGUGUUACACUAUCAGUGCCGUAGCUAACGCGUUAAGUUGACCGCCUGGGGACUACGGCCGCAAGGCUAAAACUCAAAGGAAUUGACGG